Molecule: transfer RNA, 74 nt
Filed under: Elusimicrobiota bacterium
Lineage: Bacteria; Pseudomonadati; Elusimicrobiota
Description: Elusimicrobia bacterium (sediment metagenome) tRNA-Val
Rfam family: tRNA
About the family: Transfer RNA (tRNA) molecules are approximately 80 nucleotides in length. Their secondary structure includes four short double-helical elements and three loops (D, anti-codon, and T loops).
Source: RNAcentral
GGGCGUGUAGCUCAGUUGGCUAGAGUACCUCCUUGACAUGGAGGGGGUCACAGGUUCAAGUCCUGUCACGCCCA